CUAUCUUUGUUGGUUCGCUGGAUGGAUGGAUCGCUCGUCUUAGAGCAACUACAAGAGAGUUGGUGAAAGCUCCCAAAAACUUUUUCAGCACUCAACCGGUGAAUUUUUGGUCUCCAACAGAGCGCCAUUCAUUUCCCAAUUUUUUUUUGCCACGCCGCAUCCACAGCCCCACCCCCGCAUAUUUAGCGAACCAAGGUUUCCCCAAUCCACACACGUGUAGCCUAGUGGUUUGCCGCGUUGCUUUCCACCGUCUCGCGCUCUUCUUCGUGGAGCCAUGACGGAUUGACGGGACGCGACAGCGAGAGAGCCAUCUUCGUCGGUGCUGGAGGUUGCAGCGGCAGAGUCGAGGCAAUGCAUCCGUUAAGGCCGACUGCUUCGGAUCUGCAGGCAACAGCUUGCGGUGAUACCCAGAGGAAGCGUGAGAUGGUGUCCGGCGACACAAGUAUGGACGGGGUUGGAGACCACAUUCCCCGUGGUGGAGUCGAUCUGCGAGGCCUAGCCCGCCGCCGCCACCAUCGCGCGUAUGGCCACGGUGGUGCUCGAGCGUUAGAAGUUCUUCCUGGUGGUGCUCCAGCGUCAGAAUCUAGUCAAUGGGGAGGGGUUCUUGCUAAGUGCUAUUUAAUUGCUUUGUUUUUAGUCAGAUUGAAUGCUUAAGAUAUUUGGCAUCAUUAGAAUGUUCCCAUCUCAUGAAAUGGUAGAUUUGUUUUUUUUAUGGGACACAAUAUAGCUCCUUUUUGUUUUGAUCUGGUGUUGUAAUGCCAGAUUCAUGCCAUGCUAAAAAGAAGUUAAAAGAAGUUUGAUUAAUGUUAUGUUAAUCCAAGUAGUCUCUUGUGCCUGGUUUCCUCUUAUGUGGAGGAUAACCUGAUGUUCAGAGUGAACUGCGUUUGAUGUUUGACACAACCUGAUGUUCAGAGCGAAAUGCUUAUGAUGCUUACUAUACUACUUUAGAAGGUUCAUUAGACUAUAACAUUUUUGUUUGCCCCAAGAAAAUUACUUUUGUAUUUAGGCAGUGGGAGUGAAACUGAACAUGCUGCUAAUGUAUUAGCUUGUGUGUACCAUUAUCAAGAUAUUAUACAGUAUGUAUGCUAAGUGAAGGCACAAAUCCACACGAUUAUGGUGAUUUAUGCUCAUAAGAAGCAAUAUUACAUGAGGCUACGAUCUAAUAUAUUGUCUGAAAAUGCAUAAUGUUAUAGGACAUAUUAGGUGUUGAUUUGUCUUUAGCCAAACUAUUUGUUUUUUUAUAACUGCAGUUAGGUAUCAUUCUUUUGCAUUAUGUAACUCGAUCUGCACAGUUAGCUUGUCAUAUAUAAUUCACACAACAUGUAUCAUUUUACAUUCAUAAGUACUAGUUGUUCACAAAUUUUUGUUGGAAAUCAUCUCAUUACUGGACGGCUUGCUCUACAUAAUGCAGGUUGGUGCCUGGACUGCUUGCUCUACAGAAAACAGUCUAAUGUCGUUGCUAUUCAUCAGCAAUGGCGCACAGAGAAGUGUCAUAGGCAAAACAGAUUGAAUCUGUUUCCUACUUUUCCUUUCCUACUUUUCCUUUGGGGUGUACUCCGUAGCACGGUGUACAUGGAGCUGCUUUGGGCUAUGGGCUUUUCACUGACCAUGAGACUUGUUUUAAAUAUUGGGCCAAAGUUCAAUUUGAGCGAGCUGUUGUGCGUAGGCCUGGGAAUGGGCCAUAAAAACUCAUGGGUAUAAAGGGCCUCCAAAUUCAUGUGCUGAUAAUUUUGGAUCUUUUUUGGUUCACUGUUGAUUAGGGUAGAGUUGGAUCAAGCCAUUUCAUUAAAAGGAGCAGCACGGAUCGAUCAUCAAACCUGGCCCAAUCGUGUGCCCGGAUCAUGUGAAGGGCACAACCCAUGGAUCAUGUGUAGGGCACAACCCGUGGUUCCUGUAGCGUCUUCCUCCACAGUUUGGUCAUCCAAAGAGUAGUGAGGGACCCCCGCCGGCGCCUGCAGCACGCCCUGUCGCUUCAUCGACUAGGCGGCGACCGCGGCCCUCGCCGACCAGCACAGGAAUUAGAGUCGGGACUGCACCUGUAGGAUCUGUGCCCGAAGAAAGGUAUUGCCUAGUUGCUGUUUCCGCAUUUCGUGGUAAAGUUUCCACGUUUGGGUUAUGAACUCCACUUGGAUGGCUUCUUUCACAGUUCAGGGGCCGGAGUUCAGUUAUGAACUUCACUUGCCACUGUUCUUUUGGUAUUUAUGCGGUUAGUCAACAGGGUGCUUGUCUAUCUUUCAGGAGCAAUUCAUGUGUCUCUCUACUCGCAGUAGUUUGUUCUUAAUUAAAGUUUUUUAUGCUUGAACUAUAGUAUGGCUGCAUGUGUAAAGGGCAGGGAUCUCAUCGGAUCUGCAAAAAACAAGAUAUGCGAGAGAACUGCUAGUCCAUUAUAUUAGUUACUUUAGUUUAUGGUUACUGUUUUUUUUCCUGGACAGCUAUGAUUAGAUGCUUUUUCUUGCAACUUUCCAGGGUUGCUUGUCAUAAUUGUUUCAUUGAUGAGAAUCUACAUAGUUGUGCAAGAUGGUAUUACCUCAUACAUCUUAUGUUGUGCAUUCAAGAAAAUUUCCUUCCCUCAUACAUCUUAUGUUGUGCAAGAUGGUAUUACCUCUUGUUUUCUAGAGUGGGGAUUGGUUGGGGAUUUGUUUACUCUGACAUUGGAUAAUGCUAGUGUAAACAGAUCUUCAAUUCUAUUGUUCAAGCAUUGGGUCUUGAAAGUAAAUCAGGGCUGAUUUUUGAUGUUCCACAUCGUUGGAAUGCAACCUAUGAUAUGUUAAAUGAAGCACUAAAAUAUAAGGAUGCUCUUAAUAGGUAUGUAACAGAGCAACAUCAUGAAUGUCCCACUGAAGAAGAUUGGUCAAAGACAGAAGCUCUUCAUGGUUUUCUACAAGAGUUUAGUGAUGCAACCAAAGCAUUCUCAGCGGAUAGACAUCCCACAGCUCAUCUUUUUCUCAAGAUGUUGCUGGUUAUCCGAGGUGUGCUACUUGAUGUGACUUGGAACUCAAAUGAACUCAUUAAUGAGAUGGCAAAUGUUAUGUAUGCUAAGUUCCAAAAAUAUUGGGAAAAUCCUAAUAUUGUGUUGCUCAUAGCUGCUGUUCUAGAUCCAUCAAUGAAGACCGAAUUUGUCAAGUUCUAUUUCUACACAAUUGGUGAUAAUGUUGAUGUGAAGAUGAGGGAGCUCAAAAGGUACUUGAAAAAAUAUUACCUAGAGUAUGAGAAAAUCAUGAGGAGUCAUAGUUUGCCUGUCUUUAUUCCUCAUGAGAAUCAGAUGAGAAGUGAGACUUUUACCUCUUCACCUCUCUGCGGUAAAAGAAGGGUGAAACAUGCAUUUGCUCAAUUUGCAUCUCAAAAUAUGGAUGCCCGUCCAGAGCGAACAUAAAUGGAUACUUACUUGGAGGACCCUAGGAUCCUUGUCAAGCCAGAUGAAAACUUCAAUGUUUUAGGAUGGUGGAAGAAAAACAUAGAUGCCUAUCCAAUAUUGUCUUUGAUGGCUAGAAUUUUUUUGGCUAUUCCUAUGAGUACGGUAUCCUCAGAAUCUGCCUUUAGUGCAGCUGGUAGAAUUCUUGGAAAAAAUAGGACAUCACUAUCUCCUGAAACACUUGAAGCUUUAGUCUGUGCCAAAGACUGGUUGAUUGGAUUCAAUGAUGAAGAAGAAGGUGAACCAAUGACAGGAAAGCGAAUGUUUGAUUCGGAUGAUGAAGAAGAUGAUUGGGAAAUUUGAUGUAGGUAAAACAAUAAUUUUUCGUUUUCUUAAUCACAAAAGUUUCAUCUCUUUAGAAACAUUUUCAUUGUUGGAGCAACAAGACUGCAACACAUGGCCUAAUAUUAUCCUUAACUUUAUUGU
Long non-coding RNA from Zea mays, 3838 nucleotides. RefSeq lists it as uncharacterized. The record is from RefSeq and is a predicted model, not a curated record. NCBI's taxonomy places the organism in Eukaryota, Viridiplantae, Streptophyta, Magnoliopsida, Poales, Poaceae. The transcript is spliced from 2 exons.